AUUGAACGCUGGCGGUAGGCCUAACACAUGCAAGUCGAACGAGUGGCGGACGGGUGAGUAAUGUCUGGGAAACUGCCUGAUGGAGGGGGAUAACUACUGGAAACGGUAGCUAAUACCGCAUACCAUCAGAUGUUCCCCGAUGGGCUGAGCUAGUAGGUGGGGUAACGGCUCACCUAGGCGACGAUCCCUAGCUGGGCUGAGAGGAUGACCAGGCAAAAUGGAACUGAGACACGGUCCAGACUCCUACGGGAGGCAGCAGUGGGGAAUAUGGAACAAUGGGCGCAAGCCUGAUGCAGCCAUGCCGCGUGUGUGAAGAAGGCCUUCGGGUUGUAAAGCACUUUCAGCGGGGAGGCGUUACCCGCAGAAGAAGCACCGGCUAACUCCGUGCCAGCAGCCGCGGUAAUUC
This 406-nucleotide ribosomal RNA is filed under the name uncultured bacterium. RNAcentral's name for it is "partial 16S ribosomal RNA". It matches the Rfam family "Bacterial small subunit ribosomal RNA", at positions 30 to 526 of the family's 1533-position model. The record is from RNAcentral.